CUAAUUUAUUUUAAUCCGUUCUUUCUUUUUAAUUUCCUUUUGUUAAAAAUUUGUUUUUAGGAUUUAGUCUUUCUUAAUACCCUCAAAAAGCCAAUUAUACCCCUAAUAUACUUAAGUUUACUUAAAUUUACUUACCUUUACUUACCUUUGGCAGUUGAGAACUCCUCUCUCUCUCUUUUUCCCCCCUGUCUGCUUAAAGCAGAUUGACCGCAGCGUCGAUAUAAUCCUGGCUCAGGUCUCAUA
This 243-nucleotide unclassified non-coding RNA is filed under the name Hevea brasiliensis (rubber tree). Lineage: Eukaryota; Viridiplantae; Streptophyta; Magnoliopsida; Malpighiales; Euphorbiaceae. The record is from RNAcentral.